AGAGUUUGAUCCUGGCUCAGGACGAACGCUGGCGGCGUGCCUAACACAUGCAAGUCGAGCGGGGAACGGAUGGUAGCUUGCUACCGUUUGUUUCUAGCGGCGGACGGGUGAGUAACGCGUGAGCAACCUGCCUUUAUCAGGGGGAUAACGCAUCGAAAGAUGUGCUAAUACCGCGUAAGACCACAGCUUCACAUGGAGCGGGGGUCAAAGGAGCAAUCCGGAUAAAGAUGGGCUCGCGUCCGAUUAGCUAGUUGGUGAGAUAACAGCCCACCAAGGCGACGAUCGGUAGCGACCUGAGAGGUGAUCGCCGACAUUGGAACUGAGAGACGGUCCAGACUCCUACGGGAGGCA
RNAcentral lists this ribosomal RNA (351 nucleotides) under uncultured bacterium. Its description in RNAcentral is "bacterial SSU rRNA". It matches the Rfam family "Bacterial small subunit ribosomal RNA", at positions 8 to 350 of the family's 1533-position model. The record is from RNAcentral.